Molecule: non-coding RNA, 72 nt
Organism: Ramularia collo-cygni
Lineage: Eukaryota; Fungi; Ascomycota; Dothideomycetes; Mycosphaerellales; Mycosphaerellaceae
Source: the annotation of a RefSeq genome assembly
GGAUGGUUGGUCUAACGGUAUGACAGCACAGCCACAAAGUGCAGGCUGGCAGUUCGAAUCUGUCACCAUCCA